AUGGACCAUUCCGUCCCUUAUUCUUGUGGCUAUGCAUCGGAUUCGGAUGACGAAGGUCCCGAUGAAUAAGUUGAUGAGGAGAGGUUCACGGUGAAGUAGGCCGAAACUUUCGAGAAGGUAUUGGGGCGGGAUCAUCGGACUACAUUGUUCAAGGAUGUUAGUCUUGCGGAUGAAGCCGUGGUAGAUGGUGGCCAAGGUAUAUCUCUUGGGUUUAGGCCAAGAUCUCACCGUGAUUUGGAAGACGACAAGAACGGGAUUGCUAAAGGGUCUAAGUUUGAAACCUUGUUGGAAUUGAAGAUGUGUCUUGACAACUACUCGGUUACGCAUUAUCGUCCACACAAGGUGGUGAACUCGGACAUCAAUGUGCGCUACACGGAUGCAUGUGCAUGUGAAGAUGAAGAAUUUUCGUGGAUUGUGCGUGCAAGACCAUGGAAAGGAGGUCCCACUUGGCACGUAGUGAGUUGUGUGCCAACUCACAUGUGCCGAGGCAAAAGGGUGGAUGGCAAGGUUGUGUCCCAAGACCACAGACAACUCACGUCCGAGCUCAUCGCUUACGGGCUCUCCAACUCAAUAUCCACACUUCCAACAAAUGAGCAUCCAACAUGUCAUUGA
RNAcentral lists this ribosomal RNA (612 nucleotides) under Triticum aestivum (bread wheat). RNAcentral describes it as "partial small subunit ribosomal RNA". Lineage: Eukaryota; Viridiplantae; Streptophyta; Magnoliopsida; Poales; Poaceae. The record is from RNAcentral.